UACGUAGGUGGCAAGCGUUGUCCGGAAUUACUGGGCGUAAAGGGAGCGUAGGCGGGGAUGCAAGUCAAAUGUUAAAACUAUCGGCUCAACUGGUAAGUGCGUUUGAAACUGCAUUUCUUGAGUGAAGUAGAGGCAGGCGGAAUUCCUAGUGUAGCGGUGAAAUGCGUAGAUAUUAGGAGGAACACCAGUGGCGAAGGCGGCCUGCUGGGCUUUUACUGACGCUGAGGCUCGAAAGUGUGGGGAGCAAACA
This 250-nucleotide ribosomal RNA is filed under the name uncultured prokaryote. RNAcentral's name for it is "partial 16S ribosomal RNA". It matches the Rfam family "Bacterial small subunit ribosomal RNA", at positions 524 to 774 of the family's 1533-position model. The record is from RNAcentral.